AGGUUUUCUUCUUCACAAGGGAGUUUGCACUAGAGAAGAAGAAGACUAGAAUUUGCUGUAGUCUGUGCAAAUUGCAGACUGUUGUUGCAAAGACUCAAGGGCAGUUUUGAAGGAGACUGUGGGACUAUCUCUUCUUUUCCCCACUAUAAGGAGCUGGCCACAGUAUUCCACAGAGACUGAGAAAGAUAAGUUCUCCCAAAGGAGAGUUUUAAGGGAGUGUGUUCACCUCUGUGCAGAUACCUGACACAGCAGACCUCAAUCGAACUGCCCAAGAAGACUACAGACUCGGUUCAGCAGUGAAGGCGCUCGGCCAGGUUUAUUGUCAAUGAAGCAUGAGGAUAGUAUCCCUGCAGAGUCUAUGGGGUACUAAGACAUGUAUGACCAUUACAAUGGACCAGUUCAGUGAAUGGCAAGGCUUUCUGUCCCCUCCUCGGCCAGACAAAGGAUUAAGAAAUGGGAACUUACAACAGCUUGAAAAAGAGCACCUCCUUGUGGCAAUAUUGGCAGCCUGAAGGCAAGGUUAUUGCUAUUAGCCAGCUAUGAAACGUCUGACAGAGAGUAAGAGGAGUUGUCAGCCUUGCUUGAACCAUCAAGGAAAACUGAAGGGCACACAUCCUUGGUUCAGACAUUUAUCAACACAACAAGGUCACAAAGACUGAAAUGCAAUUCUCCUUUUGUCUUCAGCUCCUUUACCAUUCCCCCUUGGGAGAUGGCCCCUCACAAGCACAGCUCAAGACCACUGUUUUUGUUCUGAAAUGGGUUUCUGAAGCAAAAUGAAAAACAACCCAGUGUCACAGCAGUAACGUUAAGUUAAAUACCAAUAAUAUUUCCUUGCAAAGGAAGGAAAAGAAACAAUUUAUAAUUUCUGUAGAAAGUGUACGAGUCCUUGACAUGGAGAAAUAGGUCAACAUUUUAUAGAAAAGCAGUGAAUUCCUACAAAGCCAAAGGAAUAACUUGCAUUCACAGUGAAAACUGACUUUCAUCUCUAUGGAUCCCCAAGUGCUUUACAAAUUUCACAUAUAUUUAGGACUCUCAUCAUCCACCACUGACAUGCCUCUGCCUCUUCAUAAGAAAGCUCCAGAAUGCUGGGGAAUGUAAUCCAAAUUACUUUACCCUCCAUCCUCCCACCUCCACCCCAAGAGAGAUUGUAUUUCUUGCAGCAAAGACACUGUUUUGUUCCACCUCAGUGACAGCCAUAAGCAGUGCAACACCAUCCACAGAGAAUAAUGCUCAGCUAGUUGAGCAGCUAUAAGGUGGCAUUGCUAUUUAAGAGCACAGGGGGAAAUUAGAGUUGUGACUAGACAAGAACUCAAGCCAAGAUUGAUUCAAAACCCCAAAUUCUCAAAGUUUGAAGGGCACCAGGAAUGUGUUUUGGCCCACUGUUGGGAUAAUUGCCAGCUGCAAAAGUUGGAUAUGAAUAUGGAUCUGAAGUCUGGGUCUGUAUGAGCCUGGGAUUUUGGUUAGGGACUGUUUCUAAUAAGUGGAUUGGGGAUUUAACGGAUGACAAAGUACUUUGUGAAAUAAAGGUGAAAUAAAUGUAUCUAAGUGGCAAUUCAGUAUUCUUUUUGUAGUGUGGAAUGAUAUUUUUAUAUCAGUGCUUAGAUAAUGUCAGC
Long non-coding RNA from Mauremys reevesii (Reeves's turtle), 1613 nucleotides. RefSeq lists it as uncharacterized. Lineage: Eukaryota; Metazoa; Chordata; Testudines; Geoemydidae. The record is from RefSeq and is a predicted model, not a curated record. The transcript is spliced from 3 exons.